GCUUACAGCUAGAUGUCGUUACCAUCGCAUUGUUUUCUUGUCACAGGUCGGAAAGUUGUUGCUGCUUCUUUGUUAUUUUCUUGGUGUUUGUGAAAUAAAUUCAACACCAUAUCAAAUGUAAGUUUCUUAACUGAUUCUAGUGCCUCCAUAGUUUGAUUCUAUACGCCUGUAUUGUUUCAACUUGAACUUCUAGAUUAUGUGUCGCUGACUGAUUCAUAGUUGAUUCACAUAGGAGUUGAUGCAGGAAAACAGUGAAAUUCUCUUGCUACGUGCAUCUCGAGCUUUGAUUUUUUUUUUAUGAAAACAAAAUCGCCAACAACCCUUGCUGACAGCACACGCUGACAUUAUCUUAAGACCACAUGUAAAUGCUGAGUUUGAGAUGUGUCAAAUAGAUGGUGUGUUGAUUGUGUCAGUUAUGGAAUGGCAGUUUGCUGUCAAUAGUUAAGCUAUCCUUUCUUCGAAAAUUACCAAUGAAUUCAUAGUAGGAAACGUGAAAGGAUCGUGGCCGUCGUUCAGCCUACCGUCAACUAUUUUGUUCAAAAUCAUUGUAUUCUACUGAAUGUGCCAUCGAAAUGAUACAGGAGUCAUAAUUAUCUGCUGUUUGUAUUGGAUUUGCUAGAUCACCAACCCCAGCAUAGACCAAUCUCUAAUUUCAUCUUCUCGAGAGAAGAUUGGAUAACGGAUCAGUGGUUUCAUGUGUUCUUAACUCCAGGUUUCUAAAUUUGCAGAUUGGCAGACU
Long non-coding RNA from Daphnia pulicaria, 739 nucleotides. RefSeq lists it as uncharacterized. The record is from RefSeq and is a predicted model, not a curated record. The transcript has 4 exons. Lineage: Eukaryota; Metazoa; Arthropoda; Branchiopoda; Diplostraca; Daphniidae.